This 253-nucleotide ribosomal RNA is filed under the name uncultured bacterium. RNAcentral describes it as "partial 16S ribosomal RNA". It matches the Rfam family "Bacterial small subunit ribosomal RNA", at positions 524 to 776 of the family's 1533-position model. The record is from RNAcentral.
UACGGAGGAUCCGAGCGUUAUCCGGAUUUAUCGGGUUUAAAGGGUGCGUAGGCGGCCUAUUAAGUCAGGGGUGAAAUACGGUGGCUCAACCAUCGCAGUGCCUUUGAUACUGAUGGGCUUGAAUCCAUUUGAAGUGGGCGGAAUAAGACAAGUAGCGGUGAAAUGCAUAGAUAUGUCUUAGAACUCCGAUUGCGAAGGCAGCUCACUAAGCUGGUAUUGACGCUGAUGCACGAAAGCGUGGGGAUCGAACAGG